RNAcentral lists this ribosomal RNA (253 nucleotides) under uncultured bacterium. RNAcentral describes it as "partial 16S ribosomal RNA". It matches the Rfam family "Bacterial small subunit ribosomal RNA", at positions 524 to 776 of the family's 1533-position model. The record is from RNAcentral.
UACAGAGGGUGCAAGCGUUGUUCGGAAUUACUGGGCGUAAAGGGCGCGUAGGCGGCCCGAUAAGUCCCGCGUGAAAGCCCCCGGCUCAACUGGGGAACUGCGCGGGAAACUAUCGGGCUUGAGUUCGGGAGAGGGAAGCGGAAUUCCGGGUGUAGCGGUGAAAUGCGUAGAUAUCCGGAGGAACACCGGUGGCGAAGGCGGCUUCCUGGACCGACACUGACGCUGAGGCGCGAAAGCUAGGGGAGCAAACGGG